AUUUUUAAUAUAAAUUCAAUAACUUAAUUUAAUUUUUUUUUAUAAAGAUAACUGUUAUAUUAAAUAUUUAGAAUUUGAAAGAAUUCCAUCGGCAAAUACCUAUUAUUAAAUUUUAUUUAAUGCAAGUAUGAAUAAAGCUAAAUGAAUUGAAGUUCUAGAUAUAUGCAAUCCCAGCCACCAAUCUCAAGGUUCCUCUUUCAAUGUCAUUGGAUACAAUCCUAAGGCUGGAAGGUUAGUUUCACUUGACAAGGCUUACAUUUUGUUCUUCCUUGUAUAUUAUAUAUAUAUAUAUAUAUUAUUUUCCUUCAAAUAUGUCUUUGAUUUGAACAAGUUGUCACCAUUUGUACCAAUAUUUGUAUCAACUACUCAGCAAUUUAACUCAGUUUUUUCAUAGAUUAGUUAUCCAGCAACUGCAAUCUUCACUAGUACUUUCAAAUAAACACCCAUACCCAACACAAACUGUUAGAUCACCAGUAGUGCCAAAAACAUAAGUUGAUAAGAAAUGGGCCCAACAUUGUAUAUCAAGCUAUCCAAUAUAAACAUCUUAAUGUUGUAUUAAUCUCUAUCAUUGCCUUGUAUCUUAGGUUCUUUCACCAGUUCCUUCUAUUUUUUGAGGUACACUUAGUAGCAACAUCCAUGUUUCGUUUCUUAGCAUCUAUCUUCUACAUUGUGGUUGCUUCUAACACAACUGGGAUUGUUUGGGAAGAUGAACUUAAACCGAAUUGGUUAAGGUGGGGAUUUUGGCUUUCCCCGAUGACAUAUGGUGAGAUAGGCCUUGCUUUAAAUGAAUUUCUUGCUCCAAGAUGGCAAAAGGCAUUGACAGCAAAUACUACCAUAGGGCAAGAAACACUUGAAAGCCGUGGAUUGCGCUUUCACGAAUACUUAUUUUGGAUAUCACUUGGUGCUUUACUUGGGUUUAUAAUAAUUUUCAACAUUGGAUUUACCUUGGCCUUGACGUUCUUAAACCCUCUUGGUUCUCGUGCUAUUAUUUCAAAUGAAAAGCUUUCCCAAAUUUAAGGAUCUGAAGAUUCCUUCAGUGUUGCUAAUGCAGAAGCAAAAUCUACAAAUUCUCCUAACUAUACUACAAAAUCUCAUAAAAGGUCGUGUAUUUUUAGAUUUUUCUUCAUUCUCUUAUAAUUAUUGAAACCAUUGCUUCACAUGAUUCUUUUCCUUUAUUUAUCGUCUUAUAAGUUUAUCCCUGUUUCAUUUAAUUAGGGUGGGUAAUAUUAUUUUACAAGUCGAGUGGUUUUACCUUUUGAACCCCAACUCUGGUGUUUCAAAAUGUGCAAUACUAUGUUGACAUCCCUGCGGUAAUCAUAUAAACAAAUCUCUUAUAAAUAUUAUGUACCUGUUAAAUAUUUAGAACUAAUUGGAUCAAAUUACAUUGGUUAAUUGUGCCAUUUUUCUUUGAUUUCUGGCAAUGAGAGAAAGGGGGUUCACUCAGAAAAAACUCCAACUUCUUUGUGAUAUUACAUGUGCAUUUAGGCCUGGUGUUCUUACAGCAUUGAUGGGUGUCAGUGGAGCUGGGAAAACAACUCUUAUAAAUGUUCUUGCACGAAGAAAAGCUAGUGGCACUAUUGAAGGAGAUAUUAGAAUUUGAGGGUUUCCCAAGGUUCAGGAGACGUUUGCUACGAUUUUGGGUUACUGUGAACAAACCGACAUACAUUCUCCACAAAUUACAAAAGAAGAAUCAGUGGUUUCUUCUACUUGGCUGCGUUUGCAUCCUGAAAUUGAUUCAAAAACUAAAUUUGUAUGACCUAUAUAUAAGGAAGUUAAAUUUACUCUUUAAUCUACAACAAUAGUUUAAACAUUAUUUUACUUUUGUUGCUACUGCACAUCUUUACAGGAAUUUGUGAAAGAAGUCCUUGAGAUCAUUGAGCUUGAUGAAAUCAAAGAUUGCUUGGUUGGCAUGCUUGGUGUUACUAAGCAGAGAUAGUGGCUUACGAUAUCUGUGGAGCUUCUAUUAUUUUCAUGGAUGAACCUACAACUAGAUUGGAUGCAAGAGCAGCUGCAAUUGUUAUGCGAGCAGUGAAGAAUGUGGCUGAAACAACAAGAAUUUUGGUCUUGAGUAUGACCUGGAUCUCUUCAAUAUUGUUGCUGUUCUAGAUUUUAACAUGUAAGUCUCAACAUAUUCAAUGCUUCUCAUGUAUAUCAUUUUCCUUAAUAUUUGAUGUGCUUUGUGAUUUUCCCCUUUUAAAUGACUAAUUAUUUCAUGCAUUUGUUUCAGGCUAGCCAUGGAAAGUAAGAGCUUGAAUGAAUGCUUCGUGAAAUUUUUUUUGACUCUUUAUUUCCAUCUAUCGUGCAUUUCAUUUGAUUGGAGUUUGUCUGACUUGGUUAUUGAUACAGAUUCCAUUCUAAGCUUGUUUUGGCAUCUCUAGAAACUGCUACAGAUGCAAAUUAUGCUGCAAUUUUAGGAGUUAUUGGCCAUGAGAACUCCAAAAGCACACUGAUGAGGCUGCUGCCAAAGUUAAUGUUGUACUAGCGAGAACUGAAGAACAAGGGCAGAUGAUCGAAUCACUUCACACCUCUGAGAUGAAGAGUCAGUGUGAUGAGAAAAAGUCCGACUUUAUCUUUUGUCAGAAAUUUCUUGGAGAGAUGUAAAAUAUGGUCAAAGAAUUCAAGAACUUAGUUUUUCA
This is a non-coding RNA of Camellia sinensis, 2636 nucleotides long. The record is from RefSeq and is a predicted model, not a curated record. Lineage: Eukaryota; Viridiplantae; Streptophyta; Magnoliopsida; Ericales; Theaceae.